UUCUUCUCUUUUAUAAAAUAUUAUCAUAUUACAUCGGAAAAACCUGCAAAAUACAAAAAUAGCAUUGAUAAUAAUUAUACUCUGUACUCACAAAAAAGUAAAUCGUGGUCAUCUUUUAUUCAUACAUACUCUCAAAAACUAUUAAUAUUUCAUUUUCAAGAAGAUGAUUUGGUUUCUUAUCAGAUCUACGCAACUAUCGUUGACAGACAACAUUUGUGAUCACUUUAAAAUAUUUUUGUGAAGAAGAGAAAUUACGAGGAAAGCGACGAGAAAGGAGCAAGAAUUUUUGGGCUUGAAGAAUUGAGUUUGGAGGAGAAGAUGGUACCAUAGAGAACAACGAAGUCACAAUUUCUGACAUGAAUUGCUUUAAUAUUGUCUAUUUUGAGUUUUUCGUUUAUUGUGAGCCGGUGAAUGUGUGUAUCGCCUGAAAAAAGAAAAAUGUGGAGAAGAUGAACUCACCAGCUAUACUAUAUGUGGUGAAAGAAAGUUUUAGUAUAGUUUGUGUUAUGUAGUGCAACUAUUUAUGUAAGGUUACUAUACUAUUUUAGAUAUAGUCUCUUCUCACUCUUGUAUCUUUUUUACUAUUUUUGUGAAAAUGAACAAUAUGUUGUGACUUUCAAUUACGAUAUUUCUCUUUUUUGACGUGUUCAUUAAUAACUAAUAAACUAAUUUCAUGUUCUAUUCUAUUUAAUGGUUGUAAAUUUAUACUCUUUCAUUGAUCAGUGGUAGAACGCGUCAAAUUACCAAACUAAAUAUUAUGGAACGGUUCUUGUAUUUCUAUACCAUUCGCAAGAAAUGGAAUAACACUUACAUCUCUAAUUUUCAUUGCUGUUGACAAACAUAUGUACUUCUUAUUACUCCGAUUCAAUCACCUACACAUAUAUGAUCGGUACUAUUAUCUCCAUCGACUGUUUGGCGAAUUAAUUAUUCACCAAUUUCUAGUUUACAAGUCUAAGUCUAUUCUAUAAUUCAUAUUUAUAUAGUAUAGUUUACUAUUACAUAAUAAUAUUAUGUAUCAUUUCAAAUUUUGAUAAUUGGGUUUAGGGUUUAUAUUUGGGUUAGAGUUUAGUAUUUAGAGGGAGGGUGAGGUUUAGGGUAGGGGCUUGGAGCAAUGUUUAGUAUUUUGGAGUUGUGAGUGGAUUUGGAGUCCUAUGCUACUUCGACAAUAUGGUAUAGAAAGCUCGGAUGCAUAUUUAUGUAGUAAGCAAGCGUGUGAUGUUUGUGGCAUUACGUGGUGUGAUAAUUAAUAGCGGACUUUUACAACCGACCACGUCAUCUAUUUUUUUUCUCUUUUACCGGCUACUUGCAAGAGAUGAGGUUAUAACCGGCUGAAAAAAGGUUAAAUGGUAGUUAGUAAAUAAUGUCAAAAUCAAUGUUAUAUACUUAAUUCUCAUUUCCAUUUUGGUUAUUCAGCAAAUUAACCAUAUUAUUAAUGUUCCUCUACAACAAAUUACAUCCAAACAAACAAAUAUUCCUCUCUCUCCCAAAGCAUCCACAUUUUUGAAUAUGAAAUGUAUAUAUGUCUCUUAUCAAUAAUGGAUGCUAACUUUGAUUCAGGGUAUAUGUUACAGGUUAUAUGGUUUACGGUAUAGUAAUUAGGGUUUGGGUUUUAAAGUUUAGUACAUAAGAUUUAGGAUAUGAAAAUGACUCAUUCCCCUAUGAACUAGUUGUUCCCGGCUUUUUCACACACGAACUUUUAAGUCAUGCCAAAAACCACAUGAACAACGGAAAAAUAAUUUAUUCCCCUAUGAACUAGUUGUUUCCGGCUAUUUCACACAAAAUUUUAAGUCAUGCCAAAAACCACAUGAACAAUUUUAUUUUUUGAAUUACAUACACAAACUAUCGAUUUUAAACUAAUUCCCCUAAAACCGUAAAUGGUGUUGUUUAAACGUUAACUUGGUUUAUGACAGGUAGAUAGUCUGUUUCAUUUAGGUUGAUAAAAUUAGAAUACUAUGUCGUUUUGUCCUUCUUCCUUUUGUCAACUCCUCUUCUUCUUCAGAAUCAUUUUACUCUUCAUCAUCAAUUGAGGAUAAAAAAAUUUAUUCUGCAUUUUCGAGUUAUAUGACAUAGUAACUGGUUGGGUAGAUAUUUUCGAGUUAUAUGACAUAAAGCUUAUAAAGAGAUCAUAUGUCAUUAAUUUCUGGAUUGAGGAGAAUAUAUAAAUCCAUGCAGGACUGGAACCUGAGAUUAACAUCCCUGUAUGGAACUAAUCAAGCGUCCUAGACUACACCAAUUUUAUAGUUCCUUGUGACAAUACAUGGAGAUUGGUAAGUUAGUAUUUGCUGCUCUUCUUUCUUUAUGCAUCAUGUAAAUGCUUUAUUUUCUACAUGAUAAUAAAUUUUAUCCCCAAUUGAUUAUGAAGAAUAAAACGAUUUCCAAAGAAGAAGAGAAGUUGACAAAAAAAAGAAGAAAAAAGAAAAAAAUGACGUAGUAUUCUGUUUUUAUCAACCCAAAUUAAACAGUCUCUCCACCUAUCAUAAACCAAGUUAACGUUUAAAUUACACUGUUACGGUUUUAUGAGAAUUAGUUUAAAAUCGAUAGUUGUGCACGUAAUUCAAAAAAUAGAGUUGUUCAUGUGGUUUUUGGCAUGACUUAAAAGUUUGUGUGUGAAAUAGCCGGGAACAACUAGUUCAUAAGAGAAUAAAUCAUUUUCCAUUGUUCAUGUGGUUUUUGGCAUGACAUAAAAGCUCAUGUGUGAAAAAACCGGGAAAAUCUAAUUCAUAGGGGAAUAAGCCAUUUUCCCGGUAUAGUAUUUAUGACUUAGAUUUAGGGUAUUGUGUUAAGGGUUUAUCUUUGGACAGUUUUUGGCAUUGUAUGUGAUAUUCAAAGAGAAUGAUUCAUCAUAUCCACUUUCUUCAUGUACUAUAUGAUACUUUAUAAGGUACUAAAUCAAAUGAUCUUAACAUUAUUACCACAGGAAAAAAACUAUAUAAAUGCAAAUAUAUUAUUUGUUCUAUAAAAGAAUAUGAUGAUGAACUAAAAGAGUUGGUAAAAAAUAAAUGCAACAAUAAAAUAAUCUUUCUGAAAUGUGCAGUGCAAGUGCCAGUGCAGCAGAGCACGUCCUUAAAUCAAACAAGUAAUAAAAGGAGAAUAUGAGCAUCAGGGAGGACGUCUACGUCAGCUUGGAAAAUCGUCCAAUUAGAGAGUUUGGUUUUGCCAUGUCACAUCGCUUUUGACUAAAGAAAGUGAAACCGGGUCUUCGCGUGGGCUUUCAAAUUACAUUUAUGUUGUUUUAAGAUGACGAGGCCCAAUCUCUCUUUUGAACAAAAAGCCCUAACAACCUAUCUUCUCUUUCGGUGGUUGUCUUUUCCGUUCACCUAUAUUCCCCGGCUCUUCGUAACGCUUUUCUUCGAUAUCAUUACGAUUCUACAUUAACUAUCUCAUUGAAGCUCUCCCACGACGUUGAAUUUUACUACCCCUUUCCUAACUUCCAUAGCGAAACCCUAAUUUUUUUUUAUUCCACUAUAAAUAGAGAUGCUGCAGCAAACUCAGAAUCUCCCAACUUCACAUGAUUCGACCCUUCUGCUUCCUCACAAAGACAACCUGCAACAAUGGUUCCAUCCCAUAUUUUUAUUACUGAUUUGGAUCCCGUUCGUUGUUCUCAGGCGGUUCUGUGUAGCUUGGAAUGUGAAGCAAAGGAGGAGGAGCUUAUGGGAAUUGACAUGCUUCUGCUUAAUGAGAAGGGUAUGCUCAUAUUUUCUCCUUGAUUAUGCUUUAUAUUUUCCUAUUCUUCCAUAUAUACUUAAAAGCGUUUCAUGUUUUCACUCUUUAAAAUCCAGUUUCUUGCAAGCUUCUAUCAACUUGCAUCAGCUUAACACUUUUAAACACCUUCUGAAAGAAGGCGUCACUUAAGAGAUCAGUGGUUUUGAUGUUAGACGAGUAACACCCACUUCAAGCUAUCAGAAUCCCCUUGGUCGUUCGCUUGAAAAAUCUAACGAAUUUUGUUGAAAUCACAAUUCCUCCUACUGCAAUACCUCUUGAGCUCUUUUUGGUUCCAUGACUACGGACAUCUCAUUGCGUUACCAAAUACUACCCUCAGUUGCCAGGUCAAUCAGUUUACUUUCAUUAACUCAAAAAGUUUGAGAUUUAGCAUACAACGUUUAACGAACUCAACCACUUGCUUCGUAAGCGUCUUAAGGUUUGUUGGUGUAAUCAAGUCUACCUUCAGUGACCAUGAGCAGAGUGCUCAAUGCAUUAUGGUUGACUUCCAGGGUGACAGGUACGAACCCUAUUUCCUUUACACUGUUUUUUUCUUUCUAUUCCAUCCAUUUGUGUUAAAUCUGUAUCUACACUUCAAUACAGCUCGACAAUUGUGCGUCUAAUUGUUUUUGAUGCACAAUCUAACCAACUUCACCAAACGUUGAUCACCAUAUUUGUUCUUACCCAUCGGUUACAUGUUCAACUUUUAGGUAUCAUGUGGAAAUGACAUCACAAAUGUCACAGAUUUGGCUGUGUUUGAUGCAGAAAUGUCUAAGUUGACUAAUGUGCAUGUAGCGGAAGUGAGUGACAUGAUGGUAUGUGUGGGAACCGAAAUUCGCACUGUCGAUUUCCGUUUAAAUUAGGAAACUAGGAAAACCCUAAUUUCCCAGAGGUCCCGGAGAUCUGUUAAUACCACACGCUAAACAAUCAGAACAAGAGAUAUCAACGACAAAGUACAAAAAUCGUAAAAAGAGAGCCAAAUAGAUCUUAUUCCGAAUCUGUGUUUGAGCGUUACAAAGAGGUAUAAGCCUGGGCUCGAGAGCUGUCGGCAAGAUUCCUAGUUCUAGCAACUCUAAGACGGCUAAACCUAAUUGAGUCGCAGCUCGAAAUAACAAAAACGGAAAUAUGCAUAAUCGCUCUAAGUGCUAAGUUUGCUCCGAAAAAAGUCUCUCCCCAUGCCUCUCGCCUAGGACUCCUUAUAUACUGGCUCCUAGGUCGGUUUACGCUUUUCCUCUUCUGCCCUUUAAGCCGUCAUAAUACUUCUGCCGCAGUUUUGGUGAUAUAGUCGCGAAGAUCGCGGAUAUCCAACGUCUCGCCAGCAGAUUUCCGAGCCUUUCGACGUUUACUGCGAGUGAGCUCGGUUUGCUUUUCAGCCAGCUCUUCUUGUUCGUUCCAAUAGAGGACUUCCUCCUCUUCCGUCAUCGGUUGGUCGAACGGAGAGCUUUCCCGAGAGGAUCGGCUUCUGGUCCGUCUUGGAUGUCUGUCGACGUACUCAUUGGUAUCGUUGGAGACAUCGCUAGGAUCCAGGUCGACGUGCUCGACUUCGUUAUCCUUCGAAUCUUUCGCGGAAGGCGGAGGACUUUCAAGGUUCCCCUUUUCGAUGGGAGAUUUUUCGCUAGAGUUUUGACCCGAAGGUUGUUCCCGCGCGGCUCCAGGCCUAUCGAGUGGGGUAGCGAAGUCCAGUCUUUUCCCGCGGACUUUAGUGGUUCCGCGGGGACGGAUUGCUCUGGUCCUUGCCGUUAAGGUUUCAACCUGUUUGGUCAAGGUGCUCACGAGCCUGUCCUGUUCUUCCGACCUUUUUCGUAGGUGGCUAAUAUCUUUUUAAACUCCUCGAGCACCGCGGCGUUCGCUGGUGCGUUUGCCGCGGAUACAUCCGCUGCGGGAGUGUGGAGAUCAGUGCUACUGCUUCCGUUCAGGGGAGUCUGCAUGUUAUCCGCGUCGUCAGUUGACAUGUCUGGUUGAGCGUGAUGUGGUUGAAAGCUAGAUUGAUCCGUACCCCCUCCUUCAAGCGCCAAACUGUGGGAACCAAAAUUCGCACUGUCGAUUUCCGUUUAAAUUAGGAAAUUAGGAAAACCCUAAUUUCCCACAGGUCCCAGAGAUCUGUUAAUACCACACGCUAAACAAUCAGAACACGAGAUAUCAACGACAAAGUACAAAAAUCGUAAAAAGAGAGCAAAAUAGAUCUUAUUCUGAAUCCGUGUUUGAGCGUUACAACAAGUUAUAAGCCUGGGCUCGAGAGCUGUCGGCGAGAUUCCUAGUUCUAGCAACCCUAAGACGGCUAAACCUAAUUGAGUCGCAGCUCGAAAUAAAAAAAAAGCGGAAAUAUGCCUAAAUCGCUCUAAGUGCUAAGUUUGCUCCGAAAAAAGUCUCUCCCCAUGCCUCUCGCCUAGGACUCCUUAUAUACUGGCUCCUAGGUCGGUUUACGCUUUUCCUCUUCUGCCCUUAAGCCAUCAUAGCAUAAAAAUGGAGAUAUUCCAUUUUUUCCGAUCUUCGUAAUUAUCUUCAAAAUUUCGUAUUUAUCCGCGGAAACUUGACAUUUAUCUUUCCUUGCGAACCAAGUGUAAACCGUCAUGCGGCUUACGGGCUGUUGGUUAAGAAAUCGUAAGUUAGGCCUCGAGUCAUGUCUUAGGUCCCUUUGGGCCGCCUUCUGACUCGAAGCGUUUAUUACGGCUUCUUUCGAUAAAGAACGAACUUUCCACGGUUUUUACCGUAAAGUUUGAUCGAUGACUUAGAAUGGCGGGAAACAUGAAAUGGGUUCGCUACGGUCUUCGGGAGAUAGCAUCGAAGGGUAGACAAGAAUGCAUGGACUAAUGUCGUAUCGACGUUUUGGAAGAGCUCGGUCGCUACGUAGCGACCGAGCUUGCGGGACGGACGCUCGGUCGCUACGUAGUGACCGAGCUUGCGGGACGGACGCUCGGUCGCUACGUAGCGACCGNNNNNNNNNNNNNNNNNNNNNNNNNNNNNNNNNNNNNNNNNNNNNNNNNNNNNNNNNNNNNNNNNNNNNNNNNNNNNNNNNNNNNNUGGCCGCUGGGUCGCUACGUAGCGACCGAGCUUGGCUCGAGCUCGGUCGCUACGUAGCGACCAGACAAGCGACCGGACAGCGUGCAUGUGCGGUAGUUGCGUAAUGACCGAGCUUGGUUCAUCCGUGUUCUGAUCGUCAUCUUCGGACCUAUCCGUAGCUGGUCUGGGUAUGUUUCCUAUGGCUUAUGUUUGAUCUAAAUAGAAUUCGAACAAAGCUUUAUCUCGGGAACAUACGUUGCGACGUUUUCUUGACCGAGCAUGAUUUGUUGCGGAAAGACAUACUUAUAUUCUGCGGGGAUUUGGACGUUAACUUCGUCGUAACCGUUUUCGACCCUAGCAGUAUGUCUCCAGAUACAUUCAUUUUUUUAAAAAAAAAGUGGGUGUACAUAGUAUUUGUUAUUCAGCAGGGUGCAGGUGUGGGAGGCCCACUCGAAGCUGAGAUCCCUCCAUUUACCAAGAAAUUGUUGGGAAAACAUUCAGUCUAAAUCUUACUGAUAUUCCUGGUGGCACAUGCGUCUCCUGCAAAUGCUCUAAUGGACAAAGGUUAAGUGGUGAUGAGCCGAGCAACGAAAUGGAUGGAAUCCCCUCAAACCAGACACGACACCCCAUCUGUUAGAACAACAACAGCUGCACAGCACCACUGUGAGGGGAGUAAUCCAGGGGAAGACCAGGUUCAAGUUGCAGGAAACCCCCCCCCCCACCGNNNNNNNNNNNNNNNNNNNNNNNNNNNNNNNNNNNNNNNNNNNNNNNNNNNNNNNNNNNNNNNNNNNNNNNNNNNNNNNNNNNNNNNNNNNNNNNNNNNNNNNNNNNNNNNNNNNNNNNNNNNNNNNNNNNNNNNNNNNNNNNNNNNNNNNNNNNNNNNNNNNNNNNNGUAUUUUUUUUCUUGAACCAUUUUUUUUUUUUUUUUUUUUUUUUUUUGAAUAAAUGUUAAAUUUUAUUCAUCCAAAAAAACAGCUGUUUUACAUUGAAAUGCAACUUCAAGCUAAAAUGUAAAAUAUUUGAAAGCUGAUUCUAAUAAGAAUUUAUCUACUACCAAACCACAUUCUCAACCCUCCUUCCAAUUUGUGACUUCCUUGGCGUUUGAUGGUAGAUAAUCUGUUUCUCACAUUUUUGUCAAUGACUUUCACUAGCAAAGUGUGUGAGAGAUUCUUCUCCCCAUGUUUUCUACAGUUUCUCUCUCUCCAAAUGGAAUGAGCAGCGGCCUGAAAAGUGUAUCUCAACAGAUAUAACUUCACCCGAUCUUGGCUUUCAUCAAGUAGAAGUGUACAUAUCUCCUCCCAUUUCUCUGUAUAUCUCCCAAGCAGCAAUCCCUUCAUCAGUUUUUGCCAAACUUCUCUCGUGUAUGAGCAAGAGUAAAACAGAUGGUUCCUUGUCUCCAUUUCCUGUUCGCAAAGCACACAUAUAGGAUCAAUAGCAGGGUUCCAUUUCAAUAUUCUAUCGCAUGUUGACAGUCUGUCCUGCAUCGCUGUCCACACAUGAAACGAGUAUUUUGGUGUAUCAUAUUUGAACCAUACACCUUUGCUCCACCCUUGCUUAACAUACUCCUUUCUGAUCAGUUGCCAUGUGUUAUUUGAUGAGAGGAACCAUGUUUGCAUCUUUAGCUAUUAAUAUUACGUAAUAUAAAUUAUUAUAGUACCACCUAUAGAGGAACUACACAGGAAUAUCAACUGGAACCAAAGUGUGUGGGGACUAAAGACAGCUCCCAAAGUGAAGAUGCUGGUUUGGAAGGCACUAAAGGGAGCUCUCCCGGUAGGAAUGAGACUGGCAGAGAGAUUCGUCCCUGCGGAGAAGGACUGUAAAAGAUGUCGAAGACCUGAAUCUAUCACACACCUAUUCAUUCAAUGCCCUUAUGCUCAGGAAGUUUGGGAAGCAGUUCCUUUCACCUCCGGCAUUGAUAAUAGUGGAGAGUUAGAUUUAGAUACCUUCUGGAAUGAUGUGAAACACAUGAUUUGUUUGCCUCCUACUGGGAUUGUUGCAGGCCAGCUUGCCCCUUGGAUUAUGUGGGAACUGUGGACAGCUCGAAAUAAGUUUGUCUUCACUGGCAGGACUACCACGCCGAUGGAGUCACUAUCCAGGGCCGUAGCCGCAGGCAGAGAAUGGCAGAAUGGACAGGAACAACCUAAAGUGCAGCAGCAGAGGAAAAGGAAAGAACCUGAGAUAGGGUCGCCGAAUAUGGCGGUGAUGAGAUCGGAUGCAGCCUGGAGAACGCCACACAUGCCGGCUGGCUUAGGGUGGACGCUAGACAUCAUGGAUGAAGACACAAGGAAGUUUGCAGUGAGAGAGAACUGGGUUUCUUCACCAUUAAUGGGAGAAGCAAUAGCUCUACUAACUGGUCUUCUCAAAUGCAGAGAGCUAAAUAUUCAGGAAGUUAGGUGUGAAGCGGACUCUUCACUUCUCAUCAACAGCAUCAAGAAUGAGAACAAUCUACCUGAGAUAUAUGGAGUAGUAGCAGACAUACUCUGUUUAGUUUCAGACUUUUCU
This 9201-nucleotide long non-coding RNA is filed under the name Brassica napus (rape). RNAcentral's name for it is "long non-coding RNA (BNAP_LNC021822)". The record is from RNAcentral. Lineage: Eukaryota; Viridiplantae; Streptophyta; Magnoliopsida; Brassicales; Brassicaceae.